This 253-nucleotide ribosomal RNA is filed under the name uncultured bacterium. RNAcentral's name for it is "partial 16S ribosomal RNA". It matches the Rfam family "Bacterial small subunit ribosomal RNA", at positions 524 to 776 of the family's 1533-position model. The record is from RNAcentral.
UACAGAGGGGGCAAGCGUUGUUCGGAAUUACUGGGCGUAAAGGGCGCGUAGGCGGCCUUCUAAGUCGAACGUGAAAUCCCUGGGCUCAACCCAGGAACUGCGUCCGAUACUGGAAGGCUAGAAUCCGGGAGAGGGAUGCGGAAUUCCAGGUGUAGCGGUGAAAUGCGUAGAUAUCUGGAGGAACACCGGUGGCGAAGGCGGCAUCCUGGACCGGUAUUGACGCUGAGGCGCGAAAGCCAGGGGAGCAAACGGG